Molecule: signal recognition particle RNA, 98 nt
Filed under: Treponema sp.
Lineage: Bacteria; Pseudomonadati; Spirochaetota; Spirochaetia; Treponematales; Treponemataceae
Also listed under: 1 other name
Description: signal recognition particle sRNA small type
Rfam family: Bacterial small signal recognition particle RNA
About the family: The signal recognition particle (SRP) is a universally conserved ribonucleoprotein involved in the co-translational targeting of proteins to membranes. Archaeal SRP consists of a 7S RNA and homologues of the eukaryotic SRP19 and SRP54 proteins.
Source: RNAcentral
GACCAGAUGCUGCGCAAGUGAUUCCUGCAAAACCCCGCCAGAGCCGGAAGGCAGCAACGGUAUGCAGCGGAUGCUGUGCCGCAGAUUAUCUGGUCUCU